ACAGGUGCUGCAUGGCUGUCGUCAGCUCGUGUCGUGAGAUGUUGGGUUAAGUCCGUAACGAGCGCAACCCUUGUCCUUAGUUACCAGCACGUUAUGGUGGGCACUCUAAGGAGACUGCCGGUGACAAACCGGAGGAAGGUGGGGAUGACGUCAAGUCAUCACGGCCCUUACGGCCUGGGCUACACACGUGCUACAAUGGUCGGUACAAAGGGUUGCCAAGCCGCGAGGUGGAGCUAAUCCCAUAAAACCGAUCGUAGUCCGGAUCGCAGUCUGCAACUCGACUGCGUGAAGUCGGAAUCGCUAGUAAUCGUGAAUCAGAAUGUCACGGUGAAUACGUUCCCGGGCCUU
RNAcentral lists this ribosomal RNA (348 nucleotides) under uncultured Pseudomonas sp. Its description in RNAcentral is "bacterial SSU rRNA". It matches the Rfam family "Bacterial small subunit ribosomal RNA", at positions 1034 to 1382 of the family's 1533-position model. The record is from RNAcentral. Lineage: Bacteria; Pseudomonadati; Pseudomonadota; Gammaproteobacteria; Pseudomonadales; Pseudomonadaceae.